Molecule: long non-coding RNA, 279 nt
Organism: Daphnia pulicaria
Lineage: Eukaryota; Metazoa; Arthropoda; Branchiopoda; Diplostraca; Daphniidae
Exons: 3
Source: RefSeq, a predicted model, not a curated record
AAUGCGUCAAUAGACCAUUGCGACAGUGGCACAAAAUUAGCCAUACUAUAGAGGGACUUGGCAACGCAUAGCAGACAGCUUGUGUGAAUCAAAUCAAAACAAAAAUAAGAGUUAGUCUACUUUGCCAAACAAAACAAAACCCCCUUCUUCAUGAUUAUCAAGUGGAUUUCGCUAUUAAAGUAUUCAGACAACGUGUAAAGUUCUGCUAGUAUGGAGCUCUAAAUGCUUCUCUCAAUCAUCAAAGAUUUUACGAGAUUACACAUGUGAAAAGAAGUCAAA